Lagenorhynchus albirostris (white-beaked dolphin) is the source of this 278-nucleotide long non-coding RNA. RefSeq lists it as uncharacterized. The record is from RefSeq and is a predicted model, not a curated record. NCBI's taxonomy places the organism in Eukaryota, Metazoa, Chordata, Mammalia, Artiodactyla, Delphinidae. The transcript is spliced from 3 exons.
CAUCUGACUUUUUCGGAGGCACCUCCCGGGUCCUUGGAGGCAGUGCUGAGAUAAUGCCCAGGUGCAUGCAGGAGAGCAAGGAAGAGAAAGCGGGACUAUCCCUGUUAGGACCAAACAGGAGCAACGCACCCCAUUUUAAAGUUCCUGACAGCGACCGCCUUCUUCGCCCAGGGCCUCUGCUGCGCGCUGGCUCCCAUCUUGCAUCCAGCUGUCCGGAACUGACCAGGUUCCCGAGGUCAGGUGUACCCGGACGUUAGUGUCGUGAUCCUCAACCUGCG